UCGCAAUCUUCUUUGUCGAUUAGAACUCUCAAAAAAAAUUACGCUGUUAUCCCUAAGGUAACUUCUUCUUUUAAUCUAAAUAAUAGGAUCAAAUAUUCAUAAAUCUAUGAUCUUUAAAAAAAAAGUUCAUUAAAUUUUUCUGUCACCCCAACCAAACAAUUUUGUAAUAAUAAAAUCUAUAUUACCAAUAAUAAAGUAUACCAAAAUUGUAAAGCUCUAUAGGGUCUUCUUGUCUUCUAUAGCCAUUUAAGCUUUCUCACUUAAAAAUAAAAUUCUAAAAAAUUCCUUCUGAGACAGUAGGCUUCUCAUCAAUCCCUUCAUUCCAGCUUCUAAUUAAGAAACUAAUUAUUAUGCUACCUUUGCACGGUCAGUAUACCGCGGCCAUUUAAGAUUACUCUCAUUGGGCAGGAGCGACCUUAAAUUAUUAUCAAAAGGCC
Molecule: ribosomal RNA, 437 nt
Filed under: Aphanarthrum canescens
Lineage: Eukaryota; Metazoa; Arthropoda; Insecta; Coleoptera; Curculionidae
Description: partial 16S ribosomal RNA
Source: RNAcentral